UCAUGUACUUUGUCCUUGGUAUGUUUGCAGAGAGUAAUCACAUCCCUUUCCAUGUCUUUUGACACUGAGCCAGCAUCUGAAAAUUUAAGGUCAUUAUGGGGUGGCAAAAACUCACCCAGACAUUCAUGCUUAAACCAGGCAUUCAUGUUUAAUCCACACAGUGGAUAGGGCAUCUGCCUGGAGUCAUCCUGACUCUGACUGCAUCAUUUUGUCUCUUAGGGACUGAAUCCUGACUGAACACCAGCGAUGCUAAUUUUGCGAAGUUCUAUUUAUUUAUUGGCCAUAUCCCUCCUGCAUAGCAUUGCCUGGGAUUCCCUGAUACAGAAAGCAGCUCUGUGUAAGAGCACAGGCUCUACAUGAUCCACGGAAAACAACAGUCCCACUUGCUGACAAGGGAGUGAAAGUAACGUAGAUGCUGCAUUGACUUAUAAAUGCAAAGGAAGAUGGCGCUAAGCUGGAAGAGUCUGAUGGAACCUUGGACGUUUGAACAGCUCCAGGAGAUGGAGAUUAAUUUCCUAUAUAAACUUAUCUUCCUGCUCAUUUCUGAAGAAGUCAGUACACUAAAUUCCCGAAAUAUAGUCUGAGCCUACACAGACAUCAAGAUCCUAGUAACUGGAACAUAUUGUUUAAGUCAGUGGGAAUUCUGGAAGUCUCUUCACACCCAAAAUCACUCAUUGAUACUCUAUUUUGCAGCACUUGGCCAUGCAAAGUGAUGCUCCCAAACAGGGCAUUGGAGGAGACUCAGCUCAGCAAAGCUGCAGGUAGAGCAGAACUCGUUGCCACUGUUUUCCAUAUGUUCCUCUCUAUGGGGGCCUGACUGGACCUCGACCUGAGGAAUACGCAGAAUGGAAACUUAAUGGAGAAGCAAGCCCCACCUCCAGGACUUUUUGUCAGAAGCAUGGCAAGGAACUUCAGUUUGGCUUUCAAAAGUGCUGAACACCCA
This is a long non-coding RNA of Motacilla alba alba, 943 nucleotides long. RefSeq lists it as uncharacterized. The transcript is spliced from 5 exons. Lineage: Eukaryota; Metazoa; Chordata; Aves; Passeriformes; Motacillidae. The record is from RefSeq and is a predicted model, not a curated record.